UUUGAGAAGAAAAUGACAAUUUUAUCUGGCCAAAUCUCAACAAAACGGUAGCACCAUUGCACCAAUAAACAAUUCUUUAUUGUCGUGGCCACAUACUUGAGAGGAGUACUCAUGUCUAUAUGCGUGAAGUAUUCAAUCGCUACUUUAAACCAGACCAAAAAUUAUGAUUUGCUAAAUUUACCUGUGGCCCGUCCACCGGCUGAGGCGGUAAAGAAGGACAGAGUCUUGACUCGUGAAGAAUCGCAGUUGAGUCUCAGGCUGAAGAGUUUCUAUGGAGUUUUGCUCAAAGAUAAGCUCAAGUCCACCGUGCGGAGUCAUCUCCUCUUCUCAAUUGCUCUUCUGCGUCCUCCUUCCUUCACCGCGCUUACUACCUCUUCUUAAUAGAAAGACACCUCUCAUUUCUCUUACACUUUGAAGGACAGUCUAAGGUCGGUGAUCCGAGUGAUGCAAGUGAUAAUGGAGGAGGUAGCGAUUCCAUUCUUUUUAGCUAGAAGGAUAAUUUAGAAUUUUAUAAUUUCUCUUUCUUUUUAUUAGGAUUUUAAUGACAAAAACAGUAAAAAAUAGAUAGAUUAUCUAUUUUAUUAAUAGAAAUAAAAAAAAUAUU
RNAcentral lists this long non-coding RNA (604 nucleotides) under Manihot esculenta (cassava). Its description in RNAcentral is "long non-coding RNA (MESC_LNC002746)". Lineage: Eukaryota; Viridiplantae; Streptophyta; Magnoliopsida; Malpighiales; Euphorbiaceae. The record is from RNAcentral.